CUACGGGACGCUCCAGUGAGGAAUAUUGCACAAUGGGGGAAACCCUGAUGCAGUAACGCCGCGUGGAGGAUGACGCAUUUCGGUGUGUAAACUCCUUUUAUAUGUCAAGAAAAUGACGGUAGCAUAUGAAUAAGCACCGGCUAACUCCGUGCCAGCAGCCGCGGUAAUACGGAGGGUGCAGGCGUUACUCGGAAUCACUGGGCGUAAAGGACGCGUAGGCUGUUUGGCAAGUCAGAUGUGAAAUCCUAUGGCUCAACCAUAGAACUGCAUUUGAAACUGCCAGACUAGAGUAUGGGAGGGGGAGAUGGAAUUAGUGGUGUAGGGGUAAAAUCCGUAGAUAUCACUAGGAAUACCUAAAGCGAAGGCGAUCUCCUGGAACAUUACUGACGCUAAGGCGUGAAAGCGUGGGGAGCAAACAGGAUUAGAUACCCUGGUAGUC
RNAcentral lists this ribosomal RNA (439 nucleotides) under uncultured bacterium. RNAcentral describes it as "partial 16S ribosomal RNA". It matches the Rfam family "Bacterial small subunit ribosomal RNA", at positions 339 to 795 of the family's 1533-position model. The record is from RNAcentral.